Molecule: ribosomal RNA, 1021 nt
Filed under: uncultured organism
Description: bacterial SSU rRNA
Rfam family: Bacterial small subunit ribosomal RNA
Source: RNAcentral
GAGGAAUAUUGGUCAAUGGACGAGAGUCUGAACCAGCCAAGUAGCGUGAAGGAUGAAGGUUCUAUGGAUUGUAAACUUCUUUUAUACGGGAAUAAACGAAUCCACGCGUGGAUUUUUGCAUGUACCGUAUGAAUAAGGAUCGGCUAACUACGUGCCAGCAGCCGCGGUAAUACGUAGGUCCCGAGCGUUGUCCGGAUUUAUUGGGCGUAAAGCGAGCGCAGGCGGUUUGAUAAGUCUGAAGUUAAAGGCUGUGGCUCAACCAUAGUUCGCUUUGGAAACUGUCAAACUUGAGUGCAGAAGGGGAGAGUGGAAUUCCAUGUGUAGCGGUGAAAUGCGUAGAUAUAUGGAGGAACACCGGUGGCGAAAGCGGCUCUCUGGUCUGUAACUGACGCUGAGGCUCGAAAGCGUGGGGAGCGAACAGGAUUAGAUACCCUGGUAGUCCACGCCGUAAACGAUGAGUGCUAGGUGUUGGAUCCUUUCCGGGAUUCAGUGCCGCAGCUAACGCAUUAAGCACUCCGCCUGGGGAGUACGACCGCAAGGUUGAAACUCAAAGGAAUUGACGGGGGCCCGCACAAGCGGUGGAGCAUGUGGUUUAAUUCGAAGCAACGCGAAGAACCUUACCAGGUCUUGACAUCCCGAUGCUAUUUCUAGAGAUAGAAAGUUACUUCGGUACAUCGGUGACAGGUGGUGCAUGGUUGUCGUCAGCUCGUGUCGUGAGAUGUUGGGUUAAGUCCCGCAACGAGCGCAACCCCUAUUGUUAGUUGCCAUCAUUCAGUUGGGCACUCUAGCGAGACUGCCGGUAAUAAACCGGAGGAAGGUGGGGAUGACGUCAAAUCAUCAUGCCCCUUAUGACCUGGGCUACACACGUGCUACAAUGGUUGGUACAACGAGUUGCGAGUCGGUGACGGCGAGCUAAUCUCUUAAAGCCAAUCUCAGUUCGGAUUGUAGGCUGCAACUCGCCUACAUGAAGUCGGAAUCGCUAGUAAUCGCGGAUCAGCACGCCGCGGUGAAUACGUUCCCG